Molecule: transfer RNA, 81 nt
Filed under: Elusimicrobiota bacterium
Lineage: Bacteria; Pseudomonadati; Elusimicrobiota
Description: Elusimicrobia bacterium tRNA-Leu
Rfam family: tRNA
About the family: Transfer RNA (tRNA) molecules are approximately 80 nucleotides in length. Their secondary structure includes four short double-helical elements and three loops (D, anti-codon, and T loops).
Source: RNAcentral
GGACGGGUGGUGGAAUGGCAGACACGUACGGCUUAGGACCGUAUGCCGCAAGGCGUAAGGGUUCAAGUCCCUUCCCGUCCA